This 253-nucleotide ribosomal RNA is filed under the name uncultured bacterium. Its description in RNAcentral is "partial 16S ribosomal RNA". It matches the Rfam family "Bacterial small subunit ribosomal RNA", at positions 524 to 776 of the family's 1533-position model. The record is from RNAcentral.
UACGUAGGGCGCAAGCGUUAUCCGGAAUUAUUGGGCGUAAAGAGCCCGUAGGCGGUUUGUCGCGUCUGCCGUGAAAGUCCGGGGCUCAACUCCGGAUCUGCGGUGGGUACGGGCAGACUAGAGUGAUGUAGGGGAGACUGGAAUUCCUGGUGUAGCGGUGAAAUGCGCAGAUAUCAGGAGGAACACCGAUGGCGAAGGCAGGUCUCUGGGCCACUACUGACGCUGAGAAGCGAAAGCAUGGGGAGCGAACAGG